RNAcentral lists this ribosomal RNA (468 nucleotides) under uncultured bacterium. RNAcentral describes it as "partial 16S ribosomal RNA". It matches the Rfam family "Bacterial small subunit ribosomal RNA", at positions 28 to 507 of the family's 1533-position model. The record is from RNAcentral.
GACGAACGCUGGCGGCGUGCUUAACACAUGCAAGUCGAACGAAAGGACCCGGCUUUUGUUUCUUUCUCGUUUGGCGAGCGGGGGAGUGACACGCGUGUAACCUGCCCUUAUCUUUCUGAUAACUUCAGGAAACUCGGGCUAAAACCGCGUAUAAUCUCCUGCUCCGUGUGGUUGGUUGGAAAAUGUCGGCGGUGGGGGAUCGUAUCGCGGGUUAUCAGCUUGUUGAGCUGGUAGUUGCGUACGAGGGCUUUGACGGGUAGCCCGCCUGGGAGGGUGACCGGCCACCAGGGGACUGAGAGACGGACCAGAAUGGUACGGGAGGCAGUAGUGGGGAGUCUUGCAGAAUGGGCGGAAGUCUGAUGUAGAAACGCCGCGUGCGGGAUGAUGGGCUUUGGGUUGUAAACAGAUUUGGAAUGUGACGAAGAGUGAGUGACGGUAAUGAGUAAGAAAGCAACGGCUAACUACGUG